AACACACAAGUUACGUAAUUAAUACGAUGCAAACUAACUUAAAAUACGAAACAACACACAAAUACGAAACAAAUCAUCUUUAAUCCUGAAACAUUCCAAAUUUUGUUGGGAUUUUGAGAAUUGUUGGGAUAAUUAGAAGAAUUGUUGGGAUCCAUUUCACUAAAAAAAAGAUUAAAACUUCAAAAGAAAGACUAAUUAGAAAGUUAAUAAUAGAUUAAGAUAAUGAAAAAUUUGGUUUUUUUUUUUGUGUCCAAAUGAAAUGAACCAAGUCUCUAUUUGUAGAGAAAAAAAAAUCACGAAUUUUGGUAUAAAAAUUAAAAAAUUAAUUUUCAAUGAAAUAAUUGAGUUCAAAGUUUUGAUA
RNAcentral lists this long non-coding RNA (361 nucleotides) under Trifolium pratense (red clover). Its description in RNAcentral is "long non-coding RNA (TPRA_LNC000043)". The record is from RNAcentral. Lineage: Eukaryota; Viridiplantae; Streptophyta; Magnoliopsida; Fabales; Fabaceae.